AUACGGAGGGUGCAAGCGUUACUCGGAAUCACUGGGCGUAAAGGACGCGUAGGCGGGUUGGUAAGUCAGAUGUGAAAUCCUACAGCUUAACUGUAGAACUGCAUUUGAAACUACUAACCUAGAGUAUGGGAGGGGGAGAUGGAAUUAGUGGUGUAGGGGUAAAAUCAGUAGAUAUCACUAGGAAUACCGAAAGCGAAGGCGAUCUCCUGGAACAUAACUGACGCUAAGGCGUGAAAGCGUGGGGAGCAAACAGGAUUAGAUACCCUAGUAGUCC
Molecule: ribosomal RNA, 274 nt
Filed under: uncultured bacterium
Lineage: Bacteria
Description: partial 16S ribosomal RNA
Rfam family: Bacterial small subunit ribosomal RNA
Source: RNAcentral